GACGAACGCUGGCGGCGUGCUUAACACAUGCAAGUCGAGCGGUAAGGCCCUUUCGGGGGUACACGAGCGGCGAACGGGUGAGUAACACGUGGGUGACCUGCCCUCAGCUCUGGGAUAAGCCUGGGAAACCGGGUCGUAAUACCCGGGAUAUGACUCCAUGACGCAUGUUGUGGGGUGGAAAGCCUUGUGCGGCUGAGGAUGGGCCCGCGGCCUAUCAGCUUGUUGGUGGGGUGAUGGCCUACCAAGGCGACGACGGGUAGCCGGCCUGAGAGGGCGACCGG
Molecule: ribosomal RNA, 281 nt
Filed under: uncultured bacterium
Lineage: Bacteria
Description: partial 16S ribosomal RNA
Rfam family: Bacterial small subunit ribosomal RNA
Source: RNAcentral